CGGACGGGUGAGUAACACGUGGAUAACCUACCUGUAAGACUGGGAUAACUUCGGGAAACCGGAGCUAAUACCGGAUAAUAUAUUGAACUGCAUGGUUCAAUAGUGAAAGACGGUUUUGCUGUCACUUAUAGAUGGAUCCGCGCCGCACUAGCUAGUUGGUAAGGUAACGGCUUACCAAGGCAACGAUGCGUAGCCGACCUGAGAGGGUGAUCGGCCACACUGGAACUGAGACACGGUCCAG
RNAcentral lists this ribosomal RNA (241 nucleotides) under uncultured Staphylococcus sp. RNAcentral describes it as "partial 16S ribosomal RNA". It matches the Rfam family "Bacterial small subunit ribosomal RNA", at positions 99 to 334 of the family's 1533-position model. Lineage: Bacteria; Bacillati; Bacillota; Bacilli; Caryophanales; Staphylococcaceae. The record is from RNAcentral.